AUUAAUUCUAUGAUGAGAAGAGUAAGUUCCCCGUAGUUUUCAGAGAGAGGAUAAAGAAGCUGAAAUUAUCCUUAAAUGAAAGGGUACUGAAGACCACCUCAGAGAGGCUCUAAUAAAGCCCGGUAAUUCCGUUAUAAUUUUUAAGAGAAUCAUUUAUAUGAUUAAUUUGGGUGGAACCGCGGGAGAAGUAUGCACUCUCGUCCCAUAU
RNAcentral lists this non-coding RNA (208 nucleotides) under Clostridium sp. Its description in RNAcentral is "T-box sequence". It matches the Rfam family "T-box leader". Rfam says of the family: Uncharged tRNA acts as the effector for transcription antitermination of genes in the T-box leader family. Lineage: Bacteria; Bacillati; Bacillota; Clostridia; Eubacteriales; Clostridiaceae. The record is from RNAcentral.